UGGGGAAUAUUGGACAAUGGGCGAAAGCCUGAUCCAGCCAUGCCGCGUGUGUGAAGAAGGUCUUCGGAUUGUAAAGCACUUUAAGUUGGGAGGAAGGGCAUUAACCUAAUACGUUAGUGUUUUGACGUUACCGACAGAAUAAGCAGCGGCUAACUCUGUGACAGCAGCCGCGGUAAUACAGAGGGUGCAAGCGUUAAUCGGAAUUACUGGGCGUAAAGCGCGCGUAGGUGGUUUGUUAAGUUGGAUGUGAAAGCCCCGGGCUCAACCUGGGAACUGCAUCCAAAACUGGCAAGCUAGAGUACGGUAGAGGGUGGUGGAAUUUCCUGUGUAGCGGUGAAAUGCGUAGAUAUAGGAAGGAACACCAGUGGCUAAGGCGACCACCUGGACUGAUACUGACACUGAGUUGCGAAAGCGUGGGGAGCAAACA
Molecule: ribosomal RNA, 427 nt
Filed under: uncultured bacterium
Lineage: Bacteria
Description: partial 16S ribosomal RNA
Rfam family: Bacterial small subunit ribosomal RNA
Source: RNAcentral